RNAcentral lists this ribosomal RNA (743 nucleotides) under Psychrobacter faecalis. Its description in RNAcentral is "bacterial SSU rRNA". It matches the Rfam family "Bacterial small subunit ribosomal RNA", at positions 91 to 832 of the family's 1533-position model. Lineage: Bacteria; Pseudomonadati; Pseudomonadota; Gammaproteobacteria; Moraxellales; Moraxellaceae. The record is from RNAcentral.
ACGAGCGGCGGACGGGUGAGUAAUACUUAGGAAUCUACCUAGUAGUGGGGGAUAGCUCGGGGAAACUCGAAUUAAUACCGCAAACGACCUACGGGAGAAAGGGGGCAACUUGUUGCUCUCGCUAUUAGAUGAGCCUAAGUCGGAUUAGCUAGAUGGUGGGGUAAAGGCCUACCAUGGCGACGAUCUGUAGCUGGUCUGAGAGGAUGAUCAGCCACACCGGGACUGAGACACGGCCCGGACUCCUACGGGAGGCAGCAGUGGGGAAUAUUGGACAAUGGGGGCAACCCUGAUCCAGCCAUGCCGCGUGUGUGAAGAAGGCCUUUUGGUUGUAAAGCACUUUAAGCAGUGAAGAAGACUCUAGGGUUAAUACCCUUAGACGAUGACAUUAGCUGCAGAAUAAGCACCGGCUAACUCUGUGCCAGCAGCCGCGGUAAUACAGAGGGUGCAAGCGUUAAUCGGAAUUACUGGGCGUAAAGCGAGCGUAGGUGGCUUGAUAAGUCAGAUGUGAAAGCCCCGGGCUCAACCUGGGAACGGCAUCUGAUACUGUUAGGCUAGAGUAGGUGAGAGGAAGGUAGAAUUCCAGGUGUAGCGGUGAAAUGCGUAGAGAUCUGGAGGAAUACCGAUGGCGAAGGCAGCCUUCUGGCAUCAUACUGACACUGAGGUUCGAAAGCGUGGGUAGCAAACAGGAUUAGAUACCCUGGUAGUCCACGCCGUAAACGAUGUCUACUAGUCGUUGGGUCCCU